GCAAUUUUUGCCGCCUUUAGUAUGUACCACAAACGCAUCGGUGUACCACUGAUCCAGUACAAAAUGAAGGUUCUACUACUUUUAUUUGUUGUGUUGGCCACAGUGUGCGCUCAAAGAUACAAUAAAUGCUUACAGCCAGUUAAAACUGGCCCGUGUAAAAGGCACGUUCCCAGAUUCGCCUACACCAAAGAGAAGGGCUGCCACAAAUUCAUAUAUGGUGGUUGUAAAGGCAACGGCAACAACUUUGAAUAUUAUGGACAGUGUAGGAGAACAUGCAUGACUCCCCCACAACAAAAUAAUAAACAUUUUAAUAAUAAUAAUAAGAGAAACACUGUCAAAUUAUAAACUUAUAAUAAAACUGAAUAAAUGUACUGAAAAGUCUUUGAAUUAUACCCAAAGUCACUCUAAUUUUUUUUAACGAAUUUACCGAUUAUUUUUUAGGUUGUUUGUAAAUCUUUCACCCAAACACUACUGAACGGAUUUUGAUGAAACUUAACAGCAUUAUUGUCGAUAGACAAAUAGACAUAUAGGUACAUAAACACUAUUCUGGUGUGUGCCAAAAUACUGGUCAAACUUGAAUAAAAUAUUUUUUUUGAAGAUUUGAUUUUGUUAAAAACGGAUUUUGUGAACCAGGAAAAACAUAGGAUAGUUUGGUCCCUAGACUGUAUUGUAAUUUUUUGUGACAGUUCGAUAUACACGCGGGCAAAACCGCGGGAAAAAGCUAGUUAAUAUAGCAGAAAUGAUUGUUUUGUUGCAUAUCUUUAGGUUAUCAUCUUGCGCCACAUUAUAAAUGUUUUGGUUCUAUUAUCGGAGGAGUCACUCGGGCAACAUGAAGAUUCUACUGCUGUUGUGUGUUCUUGUGCUGAGCACUGUUAGUGCGGAAAACCCAACAUGUAUGAUGCCAAUUGAAAGCGGCAAUUGUUUCGGCAAUUUUCCCAG
Molecule: long non-coding RNA, 939 nt
Organism: Ostrinia nubilalis (European corn borer)
Lineage: Eukaryota; Metazoa; Arthropoda; Insecta; Lepidoptera; Crambidae
Exons: 4
Source: RefSeq, a predicted model, not a curated record